Molecule: ribosomal RNA, 421 nt
Filed under: uncultured bacterium
Lineage: Bacteria
Description: partial 16S ribosomal RNA
Rfam family: Bacterial small subunit ribosomal RNA
Source: RNAcentral
AAUAUUGGACAAUGGGGGCAACCCUGAUCCAGCCAUGCCGCGUGUGUGAAGAAGGUCUUCGGAUUGUAAAGCACUUUGAGGUGGGAGGAAGGGCUUUAGGUUAAUACCCUGAAGUUUUGACGUUACCAACAGAAUAAGCACCGGCUAACUUCGUGCCAGCAGCCGCGGUAAUACGAAGGGUGCAAGCGGUAAUCGGAAUUACUGGGCGUAAAGCGGGCGUUGGUUGUUCAGGAAGAUGGGUGUGAAAACCCCGGGGUUAAACUGGGAACUGCUUUCAUAACUGCUGAGCUAGAGUACGGUAGAGGGUAGUGGAAUUUCCUGUGUAGCGGUGAAAUGCGUAGAUAUAGGAAGGAACACCAGUGGCGAAGGCGACUACCUGGACUGAUACUGACACUGAGGUGCGAAAGCGUGGGGAGCAAAC